RNAcentral lists this non-coding RNA (21 nucleotides) under Caenorhabditis elegans. Lineage: Eukaryota; Metazoa; Nematoda; Chromadorea; Rhabditida; Rhabditidae. The record is from RNAcentral.
UUUGCAUAUCCUAUAAAGCCA